CAGUCGCCGCGGUAAUACGAGGGGGGCAAGCGUUAAUCGGAAUUACUGGGCGUAAAGCGUGCGUAGGCGGUUUGUUAAGUCUGCUGUGAAAUCCCCGGGCUCAACCUGGGAAUGGCAGUGGAUACUGGCAAGCUAGAGUGUGUCAGAGGAUGGUGGAAUUCCCGGUGUAGCGGUGAAAUGCGUAGAGAUCGGGAGGAACAUCAGUGGCGAAGGCGGCCAUCUGGGACAACACUGACGCUGAGGCACGAAAGCGUGGGGAGCAAACAGGAUUAGAUACCCCGGUAGUCCCUGUCUCUUAUAC
Molecule: ribosomal RNA, 301 nt
Filed under: uncultured bacterium
Lineage: Bacteria
Description: partial 16S ribosomal RNA
Rfam family: Bacterial small subunit ribosomal RNA
Source: RNAcentral